AACAAGUUCUUGGAAAAAAAGUUAUCUCAAAGAUGGCCCUAUGCGAAGAAAAGAUAUGAAAGUCUUACGGAGAAAGAAAAGAAACCUAAACUUUGUUAUAAUAGGCAUUAAUUCUGCAAUACAAUUGCGAAAUUAUUUGUCUCAAAUUCUUUUUUAUGAUUAUUAUUACAAUAAUAGAUUAAAUCAAAAUUACUUCGAGAACUCAAUUGAUACUGUAUUGGAAUUCUAUAAUAAUGUAAAAGAAUUCAGUGGUAAUAUCGAUAAAUAUGUACAUCCAUUUCAUAAAAUUCGAUUUUUCCUGACCUUUACAAGAGCCUAUAAAGGUGCUAAAAUAUACGUUUUAUAUUGAGGAGAUUAAAUGCUGGUUAACACAAUUUCAACAGAAAAUUGAUCGCAAUUCAAUCCAAAAAUUUUGCAAUAUAGAAAUGUCUCACUAUGAGAAGCUAUCUUUGAUACGAAAUGAGUUGGACAGAUAUAUAA
Nylanderia fulva is the source of this 480-nucleotide non-coding RNA. The record is from RefSeq and is a predicted model, not a curated record. NCBI's taxonomy places the organism in Eukaryota, Metazoa, Arthropoda, Insecta, Hymenoptera, Formicidae.